GACGAACGCUGGCGGCGUGCUUAACACAUGCAAGUCGAACGGAAAGACCCUGCUUUUGUGGGGUGCUCGAGUGGCGAACGGGUGAGUAACACGUGAGUAACCUGCCCUUGACUUUGGGAUAACUUCAGGAAACUGGGGCUAAUACCGGAUAGGAGCUCCUGCUGCAUGGUGGGGGUUGGAAAGUUUCGGCGGUUGGGGAUGGACUCGCGGGUUAUCAGCUAGUUGGUGGGGUAGUGGCUUACCAAGGCUUUGACGGGUAGCCGGCCUGAGAGGGUGAUCGGCCACACUGGAACUGGGGCACGGGCCAGAGUCCUACGGGAGGCAGCAGUAGGGAAUCUUCAGAAAUGGGCGAAAGCGUGACGGAGCAACGCCGCGUGAGUGAUGAAGGUCUUCGGAUCGGAAAACUCUGUUAUUAGGGAAGAACAAAUGUGUAAGUAACUAUGCACGUCUUGACGGUACCUAAUCAGAAAGCCACGGCUAACUACGUG
This 488-nucleotide ribosomal RNA is filed under the name uncultured bacterium. RNAcentral's name for it is "partial 16S ribosomal RNA". It matches the Rfam family "Bacterial small subunit ribosomal RNA", at positions 28 to 507 of the family's 1533-position model. The record is from RNAcentral.